This 491-nucleotide ribosomal RNA is filed under the name Rugiboletus extremiorientalis. RNAcentral describes it as "eukaryotic LSU rRNA". It matches the Rfam family "Eukaryotic large subunit ribosomal RNA", at positions 68 to 556 of the family's 3401-position model. Lineage: Eukaryota; Fungi; Basidiomycota; Agaricomycetes; Boletales; Boletaceae. The record is from RNAcentral.
ACUACACUAUUACCUAGUACUGCGAGUGAGCGGGAAGAGCUCAAAUUUUGAAUCUGGCGUUCUUUUGAUCGCCCGAGUUGUAAUCUAGAGAAGCGUCUUCUGUGCUGGACCGUGUACAAGUCUCCUGGAAGGGAGCGUCAUAGAGGGUGAGAAUCCCGUCUUUGACACGAACCCACAGUGCUAUGUGAUGCGCUCUCAACGAGUCCAGUUGUUUGGGAAUGCAGCUCAAAAUGGGUGGUAAAUUCCAUCUAAAGCUAAAUACAGGCGAAAGACCGAUAGCGAACAAGUACCGUGAGGGAAAGAUGAAAAAAACUUUUAAAAGAGAGUUAAACAGUACGUGAAAUUUCUGAAAGGGAAACGCUUGAUGUCAGUCCCGUCGGCCGGGGAUCAACCCUGCGUUCUUUUCUGGGUGUACUUCCCUGUCCACAGGUCAACAUCAGUUUCUAUCGCGGUACAAGGGGGAGGGGGACAUGGGACUCUCUUUUUGGGGG